UUUUUGUAUUUUUUUU
This 16-nucleotide small RNA is filed under the name Arabidopsis thaliana (thale cress). Its description in RNAcentral is "ATSL189400". The record is from RNAcentral. Lineage: Eukaryota; Viridiplantae; Streptophyta; Magnoliopsida; Brassicales; Brassicaceae.